UAGGGAAUCUUCGGCAAUGGGGGCAACCCUGACCGAGCAACGCCGCGUGAGUGAAGAAGGUUUUCGGAUCGUAAAGCUCUGUUGUAAGAGAAGAACGUGUGUGAGAGUGGAAAGUUCACACAGUGACGGUAACUUACCAGAAAGGGACGGCUAACUACGUGCCAGCAGCCGCGGUAAUACGUAGGUCCCGAGCGUUGUCCGGAUUUAUUGGGCGUAAAGCGAGCGCAGGCGGUUUAAUAAGUCUGAAGUUAAAGGCAGUGGCUUAACCAUUGUUCGCUUUGGCAACUGGUAAACUUGAGUGCAGAAGGGGAGAGUGGAAUUCCAUGUGUAGCGGUGAAAUGCGUAGAUAUAUGGAGGAACACCGGUGGCGAAAGCGGCUCUCUGGUCUGUAACUGACGCUGAGGCUCGAAAGCGUGGGGAGCAAACAGG
This 429-nucleotide ribosomal RNA is filed under the name bacterium. RNAcentral's name for it is "partial 16S ribosomal RNA". It matches the Rfam family "Bacterial small subunit ribosomal RNA", at positions 355 to 776 of the family's 1533-position model. The record is from RNAcentral.